UACCGCUUGUGCGGGCCCCCGUCAAUUCCUUUGAGUUUUAGCCUUGCGGCCGUACUCCCCAGGCGGGGCGCUUAAUGCGUUAGCUACGGCACAGAAGACGUGGAAGCCCCCUACACCUAGCGCCCACCGUUUACGGCAUGGACUACCAGGGUAUCUAAUCCUGUUCGCUACCCAUGCUUUCGCUCCUCAGCGUCAGUUACUGCCCAGAGACCUGCCUUCGCCAUCGGUGUUCCUCCUGAUAUCUGCGCAUUUCACCGCUACACCAGGAAUUCCAGUCUCCCCUACAGCACUCAAGUUAUGCCCGUAUCGCCUGCACGCCCGAAGUUAAGCCCCGGGAUUUCACAGACGACGCGACAAACCACCUACGAGCUCUUUACGCCCAGUAAUUCCGGACAACGCUUGCACCCUACGUAUUACCGCGGCUGCUGGCACGUAGUUAGCCGGUGCUUCUUAUCUACCUACCGUCACCACCAAAGGUGGCUUCGUCGAUAGCGAAAGGAGUUUACAACCCGAAGGCCGUCAUCCCCCACGCGGCGUCGCUGCAUCAGGCUUGCGCCCAUUGUGCAAUAUUCCCCACUGCUGCCUCCCGUAGGAGUCUGGGCCGUAUCUCAGUCCCAAUGUGUCCGUACACCCUCUCAGGCCGGAUACCCGUCGCCGCUUGGUAGGCCAUUACCCCACCAACAAGCUGAUAGGCCGGAGGCUCAUCCA
RNAcentral lists this ribosomal RNA (708 nucleotides) under uncultured Corynebacterium sp. Its description in RNAcentral is "partial 16S ribosomal RNA". The record is from RNAcentral. Lineage: Bacteria; Bacillati; Actinomycetota; Actinomycetes; Mycobacteriales; Corynebacteriaceae.